RNAcentral lists this ribosomal RNA (800 nucleotides) under uncultured bacterium. RNAcentral's name for it is "bacterial SSU rRNA". It matches the Rfam family "Bacterial small subunit ribosomal RNA", at positions 8 to 796 of the family's 1533-position model. The record is from RNAcentral.
AGAGUUUGAUCCUGGCUCAGAACGAACGCUGGCGGCGUGGAUAAGACAUGCAAGUCGAACGGAUUAUCAUGAGUAGCAAUACGAGUGGUGGUUAGUGGCGAACGGGUGCGUAACACGUGGAUACAUUCCGGGAAGCGGGGGAUAGCCCAGGGAAACUUGGAUUAAUACCGCAUGUGAUCGAGAGAUCAAAGGCAGGGACCGCAAGGCCUGCCACUUCCCGAUUGGUCCGCGGCCUAUCAGCUAGUUGGCGGGGUAAAAGCCCACCAAGGCUAAGACGGGUAGCUGGUCUGAGAGGACGAUCAGCCACACUGGCACUGAAACACGGGCCAGACUCCUACGGGAGGCAGCAGUGGGGAAUUUUGCGCAAUGGGCGAAAGCCUGACGCAGCGACGCCGCGCGAGGGAAGAAGGUUUUCGGAUCGUAAACCUCUGUCGGGGGGGAAGAAACUCCUGGUGGUUAAUACCCAUCAGGAUUGACGGUACCCCCUAAGGAAGCAUCGGCUAACUACGUGCCAGCAGCCGCGGUAAUACGUAGGAUGCAAGCGUUGCUCGGAAUUAUUGGGUGUAAAGGGCGCGUAGGUGGCCUGAUAAGUCAUGGGUGAAAGCCCUCGGCUCAACCGAGGAAUAGCCUAUGAUACUGUCGGGCUUGAGUAUGGGAGAGGGAAGUGGAAUUCCUGGUGUAGCGGUGAAAUGCGUAGAUAUCAGGAGGAACACCGGCGGCGAAGGCGGCUUCCUGGACCAAUACUGACACUGAGGCGCGAAAGCGUGGGUAGCAAACAGGAUUAGAUACCCUGGUAGUCC